GCGUGCGCCCUCUCCACCGCCCCCGCCUCAUAUUGCGGUGCAAACGCUCUACAUCUUCAGCAGCGUAGCAGACCUAUCCCUGCCCCUCUCCUGUUGCAUUCCGGACUUCUCGGCUGUUAUUCCUGGGACACACCUGCAGCAUAUGGAAAUUACCAGGCUGCGGGGGUCGAAUUGGAGCUGCACCUGCUGGCCUUUGCUGCAGCCGUAGCAACGUGGGAUCUGAGCGGCACCCGAGACCUAUGCCACAGCUUGUGGCAAUUCGGGAUUAUUAACUCACCCAGCAACGCCAAGGAUGGAACCUGCAUCCUCAUGGAUACUACUUGGGUUCUUAAGCCCCUCAGCCACAACAGGAACUCUGAGUUCCCAGGCCGGGGAUUGAAUCUGCACCACAGCAGUGACCUGAACCACUGAAGUGACAACUCUGGAUCCUUAACUUGCUGCACCACGAGGUUGAGUAGGUCGUUGGAGUGGCUCACUGUAUGAGUCUGUGAGGUUAAUACAGUAUCUUCAACACUGCAUACAGUAAGUACUCCUUAAGUUUUAUUAUAUGAAUGGAU
Molecule: long non-coding RNA, 557 nt
Filed under: Sus scrofa (pig)
Lineage: Eukaryota; Metazoa; Chordata; Mammalia; Artiodactyla; Suidae
Description: lncRNA (ENSSSCG00015080980.1)
Source: RNAcentral